Molecule: non-coding RNA, 74 nt
Organism: Bacillus sp. LL01
Lineage: Bacteria; Bacillati; Bacillota; Bacilli; Caryophanales; Bacillaceae
Source: Rfam
CGGGGAGUAGCUCAGCUUGGUAGAGCACUUGGUUUGGGACCAAGGGGUCGCAGGUUCAAAUCCUGUCUUCCCGA